AUGGCUGAUUAUCUCGCAAACCCAAAAGUAUAUGGGGAUGUGGAACAUUAUGGCUGGACCACGGAGGAAGAAGAAGACUAUGAUCCAAAGGGCAAGGAGGAGACAAGCUCUGAUGAAGAGGACGAUCCACUACCCCAACCUAGUGAUAUGCAUGUGGAGUUCAAGAAGUCAAGCCUCCCUAAGGUCCAAUCUAUUCCACCUCGUUUUUUGCAGGACAGCAAGGCGGCACUAUGCAAAAAGAUAAUGAAACUUGAGCUCGAGAAUGAGGAUCUGAGGGAGGAAAAUUUUAGCCUCAGACGCAAGCUAGAGAAGAAAAAUGCAACAAUUCCACCUCCAUCACCUCCGAGGAAAUAA
RNAcentral lists this ribosomal RNA (354 nucleotides) under Triticum aestivum (bread wheat). RNAcentral's name for it is "partial small subunit ribosomal RNA". The record is from RNAcentral. Lineage: Eukaryota; Viridiplantae; Streptophyta; Magnoliopsida; Poales; Poaceae.